Molecule: non-coding RNA, 486 nt
Organism: Propithecus coquereli (Coquerel's sifaka)
Lineage: Eukaryota; Metazoa; Chordata; Mammalia; Primates; Indriidae
Source: the annotation of a RefSeq genome assembly
AUGCCGUCACUGCUCCAAGCGUCAGCUCUGGCAGUCCUUGGGGCUUUGUGUGUGUGUGGUGCAGUUCACUUAGAGCAACCGCAACUUUCCAGCACUAAAACACUGUCAAAAACAGCCCGCCUGGAAUGUGUGGUGUCUGAAGGAACAAUUUCUGCAAAGUCCAUAUAUUGGUAUCAAGAAAGACCUGAUGAAGUCAUACAGCUCCUGGCAUACGUGUUAUCUAACGACACUGUCAGAAUGGCACCAGGCAUUGCGUCAAACAAAUUUGAGGUGGACAGGUUACCCGAAGCUUCCACAUCUACCCUCACCAUUCACAAUGUAGAGAAACAAGACUCAGCCAUCUACUAUUGUGCCUCCUGGGAGUUGCACAGUGUCACACAAUUAGAGCCAUGUCAUUCAACAAAUGUUCAUCGGUUCUUUAUUCAUUAUUAUGAAUUGGGAAACCACAGUUACCACCAGUGCGCUUUUAUACAGUCUUCAGGAUAG